Non-coding RNA from Glycine soja, 120 nucleotides. NCBI's taxonomy places the organism in Eukaryota, Viridiplantae, Streptophyta, Magnoliopsida, Fabales, Fabaceae. The record is from Rfam.
UUUUUAUUGAAUAAUGACUGUUACAUGUUAUGUUCUGAUUGGAUUUCAAUUCUAUAAAAGAUAAAAUGCAUUAUUAUUUUUAUUGACCAAUCAAAAGGUUAAAUGCAGUAAUUGUGUUCA